GUGUUAUGUGUGACUAGCCACCACCCAGCCGACGUGCUGAUUCGAAGGAUCGGCCAGGCAGUGUACGCAGUAGCUCUCAUGCUGAUAAGGACAAAAAGGCAGGGAAACCCUCCGGCAAAAAGAAGGAUGGUAAAGGUGGGAAAGAUGCUAAAGAAGAGGAGAAACAUGAUAAAACUAAAGGAGGGAAGAAA
This is a long non-coding RNA of Mizuhopecten yessoensis (Yesso scallop), 191 nucleotides long. RefSeq lists it as uncharacterized. Lineage: Eukaryota; Metazoa; Mollusca; Bivalvia; Pectinida; Pectinidae. The transcript has 2 exons. The record is from RefSeq and is a predicted model, not a curated record.